UUGAAGAGUUUGAUCAUGGCUCAGAUUGAACGCUGGCGGCAGGCCUAACACAUGCAAGUCGAGCGGUAGCACAGAGAGCUUGCUCUCGGGUGACGAGCGGCGGACGGGUGAGUAAUGUCUGGGAAACUGCCUGAUGGAGGGGGAUAACUACUGGAAACGGUGGCUAAUACCGCAUAAUGUCGCAAGACCAAAGUGGGGGACCUUCGGGCCUCAUGCCAUCAGAUGUGCCCAGAUGGGAUUAGCUAGUAGGUGGGGUAACGGCUCACCUAGGCGACGAUCCCUAGCUGGUCUGAGAGGAUGACCAGCCACACUGGAACUGAGACACGGUCCAGACUCCUACGGGAGGCAGCAGUGGGGAAUAUUGCACAAUGGGCGCAAGCCUGAUGCAGCCAUGCCGCGUGUGUGAAGAAGGCCUUCGGGUUGUAAAGCACUUUCAGCGGGGAGGAAGGCGUUAAGGUUAAUAACCUUGGCGAUUGACGUUACCCGCAGAAGAAGCACCGGCUAACUCCGUGCCAGCAGCCGCGGUAAUACGGAGGGUGCAAGCGUUAAUCGGAAUUACUGGGCGUAAAGCGCACGCAGGCGGUCUGUCAAGUCGGAUGUGAAAUCCCCGGGCUCAACCUGGGAACUGCAUUCGAAACUGGCAGGCUAGAGUCUUGUAGAGGGGGGUAGAAUUCCAGGUGUAGCGGUGAAAUGCGUAGAGAUCUGGAGGAAUACCGGUGGCGAAGGCGGCCCCCUGGACAAAGACUGACGCUCAGGUGCGAAAGCGUGGGGAGCAAACAGGAUUAGAUACCCUGGUAGUCCACGCCGUAAACGAUGUCGAUUUGGAGGUUGUGCCCUUGAGGCGUGGCUUCCGGAGCUAACGCGUUAAAUCGACCGCACGGGAGUACGGCCGCAAGGUUAAAACUCAAAUGAAUUGACGGGGCCCGCACAAGCGGUGGAGCAUGUGGUUUAAUUCGAUGCAACGCGAAGAACCUUACGGUCUUGACAUCCACAGAACUUUCCAGAGAUGGAUUGGUGCCUUCGGGAACUGUGAGACAGGUGCUGCAUGGCUGUCGUCAGCUCGUGUUGUGAAAUGUUGGGUUAAGUCCCGCAACGAGCGCAACCCUUAUCCUUUGUUGCCAGCGGUUAGGCCGGGAACUCAAAGGAGACUGCCAGUGAUAAACUGGAGGAAGGUGGGGAUGACGUCAAGUCAUCAUGGCCCACGACGGGCUACACGUGCUACAAUGGCAUAUACAAAGAGAAGCGACCUCGCGAGCAAGCGGACCUCAUAAAGUAUGUCGUAGUCCGGAUUGGAGUCUGCAACUCGACUCCAUGAAGUCGGAAUCGCUAGUAAUCGUAGAUCAGAAUGCUACGGUGAAUACGUUCCCGGGCCUUGUACACACCGCCCGUCACACCAUGGGAGUGGGUUGCAAAAGAAGUAGGUAGCUUAACCUUCGGGAGGGCGCUUACCACUUUGUGAUUCAUGACUGGGGUGAAGUCGUAACAAGGUAACCGUAGGGGAACCUGCGGUUGGAUCACCUCCUU
This 1524-nucleotide ribosomal RNA is filed under the name Klebsiella pneumoniae. Its description in RNAcentral is "bacterial SSU rRNA". It matches the Rfam family "Bacterial small subunit ribosomal RNA". The record is from RNAcentral. Lineage: Bacteria; Pseudomonadati; Pseudomonadota; Gammaproteobacteria; Enterobacterales; Enterobacteriaceae.